AGACAAUAGAUACCCAGGUAGUCCGCACAGUAAACGAUGAUAACUAGUUGUUUGCGAUAUACAGUAAAGCGACCAAAGCGAAAGCGAUAAGUUAUCCACCUGGGGAGUACGCCCGCAAGGGUGAAACUCAAAGGAAUUGACGGGGGCCCGCACAAGCGGAGGAGCAUGUGGUUUAAUUCGAUGAUACGCGAGGAACCUUACCAGGGCUUGAAAGUUAAGGAAUGAUUAUGAAAGUAGUCAGUCAGCAAUGACCUAAAACUAGGUGCUGCAUGGCUGUCGUCAGCUCGUGCCGUGAGGUGUUGGGUUAAGUCCCGCAACGAGCGNAACCCCUACUUCUAGUUGCUACCAUUAAGUUGAGGACUCUAGAGGAACUGCCCGUGCAAACGGUGAGGAA
RNAcentral lists this ribosomal RNA (394 nucleotides) under uncultured bacterium. Its description in RNAcentral is "bacterial SSU rRNA". It matches the Rfam family "Bacterial small subunit ribosomal RNA", at positions 774 to 1171 of the family's 1533-position model. The record is from RNAcentral.